This 948-nucleotide ribosomal RNA is filed under the name uncultured organism. RNAcentral's name for it is "bacterial SSU rRNA". It matches the Rfam family "Bacterial small subunit ribosomal RNA", at positions 19 to 963 of the family's 1533-position model. The record is from RNAcentral.
CUGGCUCCGGACGAACGCUGGCGGCGUGCUUAACACAUGCAAGUCGAGCGAGAAGCCAAUGUUUGAUUCUUCGGAAGAUUACUUUGGUGGAAAGCGGCGGACGGGUGAGUAACGCGUGGGCAACCUACCUUAUACAGGGGGACAACAUCGGGAAACCGGUGCUAAUACCGCAUAACACAUUGAAAUGGAAUCAUUAUGAUGUCAAAGGAGGAAUCCGGUAUAAGAUGGGCCCGCGUCCAAUUAGCUAGUUGGUGAGGUAACGGCUCACCAAGGCGACGAUUGGUAGCCGAACUGAGAGGUUGAUCGGCCACAUUGGGACUGAGACACGGCCCAGACUCCUACGGGAGGCAGCAGUGGGGAAUAUUGCACAAUGGGGGAAACCCUGAUGCAGCAACGCCGCGUGAAGGAUGAAGGUCUUCGGAUUGUAAACUUCUUUGAUUGGGGAAGAAGAAGUGACGGUACCCAAAAAACAAGCCACGGCUAACUACGUGCCAGCAGCCGCGGUAAUACGUAGGUGGCAAGCGUUGUCCGGAAUUACUGGGUGUAAAGGGCGUGUAGGCGGGGAUGCAAGUCAGGUGUGAAAGCCCAUGGCUCAACUGUGGGACUGCAACUGAAACUGAAUCUCUUGAGUACUGGAGAGGGAAGUGGAAUUCCUAGUGUAGCGGUGAAAUGCGUAGAGAUUAGGAGGAACACCAGUGGCGAAGGCGGCUUCCUGGACAGUAACUGACGCUGAGGCGCGAAAGCGUGGGGAGCGAACAGGAUUAGAUACCCUGGUAGUCCACGCCGUAAACGAUGGAUACUAGGUGUAGGAGGUAUCGACCCCUUCUGUGCCGGAGCUAACACAUUAAGUAUCCCACCUGGGGAAUACGACCGCAAGGUUGAAACUCAAAGGAAUUGACGCGGGCCCGCACAAGCAGUGGAGUAUGUGGUUUAAUUCGAAGCAACGCG